CUUGAAACAGGAAAAGCCUCUGAAAAUGAUAUGAAACAAGGGAUACUGACUAGGUUCCAGGAGUUUGUCUGGUGUGACCUAUGACUUAUCACAAACUGGAACAUUUCUUACAAUUUGCAGAGGAAUAUGGAAGCCGAAAACCAUGAGUUUGGCUGCAUCAAGAUUUCAUAAAAUUCAUAUACAAUGACUAGCAGAGAUGGGCAGAUUGUGC
RNAcentral lists this long non-coding RNA (211 nucleotides) under Gallus gallus (chicken). Lineage: Eukaryota; Metazoa; Chordata; Aves; Galliformes; Phasianidae. The record is from RNAcentral.